GGGGCGGUAGCUCAGUGGUAGAGCGUAGGACUGCAAUUGCAACAGCAACAGGGUAUCCCGAGGUCGCGUGUUCGACCCACGCCCGUCCCU
Trametopsis cervina is the source of this 90-nucleotide non-coding RNA. The record is from the annotation of a GenBank genome assembly. NCBI's taxonomy places the organism in Eukaryota, Fungi, Basidiomycota, Agaricomycetes, Polyporales, Irpicaceae.